CGUUGAAGGGCAACCGAGUAGACGUGGCGAAAGGGGCAGUAACGCAUAGGUAACCUGCCUCCGGGUCUGGGAUAAUCGGCGGAAACGCCGGGUAACACCGGAUGUCAUCACCUGUCGGCAUCGGCGGGGGAUGAAAGGCGACGCCCGGAGAGGGGCUUAUGUCCUAUCAGCUAGUUGGUGAGGUGACGGCUCACCAAGGCGACGACGGGUAGGGGGUGUGAGAGCACGACCCCCGCCACUGGCACUGAGACACUGGCCAGACUCCUACGGGAGGCUGCAGUCGAGAAUCUUCGGCAAUGGGCGAAAGCCUGACCGAGCGACGCCGCGUGGUGGAUGAAGGCCUUCGGGUUGUAAACACCUGUUGGGGGGGAACAAUGAUGAGUGAACCCCUGAGGAAGCACGGGCUAAGUUCGUGCCAGCAGCCGCGGUAAGACGAACUGUGCGAACGUUAUUCGGAAUCAUUGGGGCUUAAAGAGCGCGUAGGCGGCCGCGUCAGUCACUGGUGAAUCCCAACGGCUCAACCGUGGAAUUGCCGGUGAUACUGCGUGGCUUGAGGGGGACAGGGGCGUGCGGAACUUCCGGUGGAGCGGUGAAAUGUGUUGAUAUCGGGGGGAACGCCAGUGGCGAAAGCGGCACGCUGGUUCUUUUCUGACGCUGAGGCGCGAAAGCUAGGGUAGCGAACGGGAUUAGAUACCCCGGUAGUCCUAGCCUUAAACGAUGGGCACUGGGUAGAAAGUUCUCCAUGGGACCUUCUGCCGUAGUGAAAGUGUUAAGUGCCCCGCCUGGGGAGUAUGGCCGCAAGGCUGAAACUCAAAGGAAUUGACGGGGGCUCACACCAGCGGUGGAGCAUGUGGCUUAAUUCGAGGCUACGCGAAGAACCUUAUCCUAGGCUUGACAUGCGGGGAGUAGGAACCCGAAAGGGGGACGACCGGUAUCCAGUCCGGAUCCCGCACAGGUGCUGCAUGGCUGUCGUCAGCUCGUGUCGUGAGAUGUCGGGUUAAGUCCCUUAACGAGCGAAACCCUUGUCCCUAGUUACCAGCGGUUCGGCCGGGAACUCUAGGGAGACUGCCGUUGUUAAAACGGAGGAAGGUGGGGAUGACGUCAAGUCCUCAUGGCCCUUAUGCCUAGGGCUGCACACGUGCUACAAUGGGGCGCACAAAGGGCCGCGAGCCGGUGACGGCAAGCUAAUCCCAAAAAUCGCUCCCCAGUUCAGAUUGUGGGCUGCAACCCGCCCACAUGAAGCCGGAAUCGCUAGUAAUCGCAGGUCAGCCAUACUGCGGUGAAUGUGUUCCUGAGCCUUGUACACACCGCCCGUCAAGCCACGAAAGUGGGGGGCGUCCGAAGUCGCUGUGCUAGCCGCAAGGG
Molecule: ribosomal RNA, 1365 nt
Filed under: uncultured bacterium
Lineage: Bacteria
Description: bacterial SSU rRNA
Rfam family: Bacterial small subunit ribosomal RNA
Source: RNAcentral